GGCCGCCUGGCGAAAUGGCAUCGCGUCUGACUACGAUCGAAAUGCUUCCGAUUCCGAGCGUUACUCGCUGAGAUCAGGAGAUUGCAGGUUCGACCCCUGCGGUGGUCA
This is a transfer RNA of Stereum hirsutum FP-91666 SS1, 108 nucleotides long. It matches the Rfam family "tRNA". From Rfam's summary of the family: Transfer RNA (tRNA) molecules are approximately 80 nucleotides in length. Their secondary structure includes four short double-helical elements and three loops (D, anti-codon, and T loops). Further hydrogen bonds mediate the characteristic L-shaped molecular structure. tRNAs have two regions of fundamental functional importance: the anti-codon, which is responsible for specific mRNA codon recognition, and the 3' end, to which the tRNAs corresponding amino acid is attached (by aminoacyl-tRNA synthetases). tRNAs cope with the degeneracy of the genetic code in two manners: having more than one tRNA (with a specific anti-codon) for a particular amino acid; and 'wobble' base-pairing, i.e. permitting non-standard base-pairing at the 3rd anti-codon position. The record is from Rfam. Lineage: Eukaryota; Fungi; Basidiomycota; Agaricomycetes; Russulales; Stereaceae.